GGGAACCUGCCUUUAGGUACGGAAUAACGUCUGGAAACGGACGCUAAUACCGUAUAUUUCCUCCGGGAAAAAGGUCCGCCGCCUAAAGAGGGGCCCGCGUCAGAUUAGCUUGUUGGUGGGGUAAUGGCUUACCAAGGCUACGAUCUGUAGUUGGUCUGAGAGGAUGAUCAGCCACACUGGGACUGAGACACGGCCCAGACUCCUACGGGAGGCAGCAGUGGGGAAUAUUGGACAAUGGGGGCAACCCUGAUCCAGCAAUGCCGCGUGUGUGAUGAAGGCCCUAGGGUUGUAAAGCACUUUCAACGGUGACGAUGAUGACGGUAACCGUAGAAGAAGCCCCGGCUAACUUCGUGCCAGCAGCCGCGGUAAUACGAAGGGGGCGAGCGUUGUUCGGAAUUACUGGGCGUAAAGGGCGCGUAGGCGGUCUAUCCAGUUGGGCGUGAAAGCCCUGGGCUCAACCCAGGAAUUGCGUCCAAUACUAAUAGACUAGAGACCGAGAGAGGAUAGUGGAAUUUCCAGUGUAGAGGUGAAAUUCGUAGAUAUUGGAAAGAACACCAGUGGCGAAAGCGACUAUCUGGCUCGGUUCUGACGCUGAGGCGCGAAAGCGUGGGGAGCAAACAGGAUUAGAUACCCUGGUAGUCCACGCCGUA
This 650-nucleotide ribosomal RNA is filed under the name uncultured Alphaproteobacteria bacterium. RNAcentral describes it as "bacterial SSU rRNA". It matches the Rfam family "Bacterial small subunit ribosomal RNA", at positions 120 to 804 of the family's 1533-position model. Lineage: Bacteria; Pseudomonadati; Pseudomonadota; Alphaproteobacteria. The record is from RNAcentral.